GAUGAAGAACGCAGCGAAAUGCGAUAAGUAAUGUGAAUUGCAGAAUUCAGUGAAUCAUCGAAUCUUUGAACGCACAUUGCGCCCGCUGGUAUUCCAGCGGGCAUGCCCGUUCGAGCGUCAUUUUAAUCCCUUCCCGGGAGACUCUUCUAUUCUGUAGUGGAGUGUCUACGGGGUGUUGGCAUUGGUCGCCUUAUUUUUAGGCGACCGGCGCCGAAAUGAAGUGGCGGACUCGCAGCGGCCCCUAGCGCAGUAGAAACAACCCUUCUCGCUUAGGAGAGCCGCAGCGGUGGACCAUAGCCCUACAUGCUUUUUUUUUUUUUAAAAAAAAAAGCUAUAUCUAAAAACUUGACCUCGGAUCGGGUAGGACUACCCGCUGAACUUAAGCAUAUCAAUAAGCGGAGGA
This 403-nucleotide unclassified non-coding RNA is filed under the name soil metagenome. RNAcentral's name for it is "partial contains 5.8S ribosomal RNA, internal transcribed spacer 2, and large subunit ribosomal RNA". The stretch from base 1 to 120 matches the Rfam family "5.8S ribosomal RNA", at positions 35 to 154 of the family's 154-position model. The record is from RNAcentral.